RNAcentral lists this ribosomal RNA (663 nucleotides) under Triticum aestivum (bread wheat). RNAcentral's name for it is "partial small subunit ribosomal RNA". The record is from RNAcentral. Lineage: Eukaryota; Viridiplantae; Streptophyta; Magnoliopsida; Poales; Poaceae.
AUCGGACCCAAUUCGGUGUCCAAUCUAUGCAACUUCCAAGUCUUCUGUGAAGUAUACUUACAAGAAGAACCAAUUGCUGAGCUGUUCCAGGACUUUUUUCAUCUGAACCGGCAUACAGAAUUUGUAAACGGUCCCAACACUAAACUUGGUGGUGUCUCCAUUCAAAAGCGGAAAGAAGUUGAAUUCCCUCAUGCCAAACUGCACAGUCACCCUAAGGAAUGGAACCAGACUUGGUUCUACUGCAUAGAUACCUCUCCUCAAGAUGAGAACCCUCUUCCAAGCUACCAUGAUCACCGGCUUUCCAACACUCAUCCAAUGCCGCAACGUUUAAGUUCCGUGGAACGGGCCAAAUAUGCCCCUCAACUCGCCAAGCUCCGGGCCUUUAUGGCCAACGGUUUAACAGGCGUUGAUUUUGUGUGUUGCUGGAUAUCUUGGAACGUCUUGCCACUAAGCCGCCGCCCUGGUUUAAUGUGUGAGUACACCGGUGAAUUAGAAGACCCCCAACGCCACAUAAACAUUCGGGUAACCAAUGAAGAGGUCACUGAAAGCGUCAAGAAAAUUUUGAAUGAACCGGAGUCAGUCUGUCACCAAACUGGCUUGAACCCCUUCUACACUCAAAAUAAACCACCUACUGUAAGCACUAUGCUUCCUUUUUAUCUUUGA